RNAcentral lists this ribosomal RNA (449 nucleotides) under uncultured bacterium. Its description in RNAcentral is "partial 16S ribosomal RNA". It matches the Rfam family "Bacterial small subunit ribosomal RNA", at positions 29 to 523 of the family's 1533-position model. The record is from RNAcentral.
AAUGAACGCUGGCGGCAGGCCUAACACAUGCAAGUCGAACGGAUCCUUCGGGAUUAGUGGCGGACGGGUGAGUAACGCGUGGGAACAUACCCUUUGGUACGGAAUAGCCUCGGGAAACUGGGAGUAAUACCGUAUGUGGUCGAGAGACGAAAGAUUUAUCGCCAAAGGACUGGCCCGCGUUGGAUUAGGUAGUUGGUGGGGUAAUGGCCUACCAAGCCGACGAUCCAUAGCUGGUUCGAGAGGAUGAUCAGCCACACUGGGACUGAGACACGGCCCAGACUCCUACGGGAGGCAGCAGUGGGGAAUCUUAGACAAUGGGGGAAACCCUGAUUUAACCAUGCCGCGUGAUCGAUGAAGGCCUUAGGGUUGUAAAGAUCUUUCAGGUGGGAAGAUAAUGACUGUACCACCAGGAGAAGCCCCGGCUAACUCCGUGCCAGCCGCCGCCGUAA